Molecule: ribosomal RNA, 743 nt
Filed under: Salmonella enterica
Lineage: Bacteria; Pseudomonadati; Pseudomonadota; Gammaproteobacteria; Enterobacterales; Enterobacteriaceae
Description: partial 23S ribosomal RNA
Rfam family: Bacterial large subunit ribosomal RNA
Source: RNAcentral
UGCAGUGUACCCGCGGCAAGACGGAAAGACCCCGUGAACCUUUACUAUAGCUUGACACUGAACAUUGAGCCUUGAUGUGUAGGAUAGGUGGGAGGCUUUGAAGCGUGGACGCCAGUCUGCGUGGAGCCGACCUUGAAAUACCACCCUUUAAUGUUUGAUGUUCUAACGUGGACCCGUUACCCGGGUUGCGGACAGUGUCUGGUGGGUAGUUUGACUGGGGCGGUCUCCUCCUAAAGAGUAACGGAGGAGCACGAAGGUUGGCUAAUCCUGGUCGGACAUCAGGAGGUUAGUGCAAUGGCAUAAGCCAGCUUGACUGCGAGCGUGACGGCGCGAGCAGGUGCGAAAGCAGGUCAUAGUGAUCCGGUGGUUCUGAAUGGAAGGGCCAUCGCUCAACGGAUAAAAGGUACUCCGGGGAUAACAGGCUGAUACCGCCCAAGAGUUCAUAUCGACGGCGGUGUUUGGCACCUCGAUGUCGGCUCAUCACAUCCUGGGGCUGAAGUAGGUCCCAAGGGUAUGGCUGUUCGCCAUUUAAAGUGGUACGCGAGCUGGGUUUAGAACGUCGUGAGACAGUUCGGUCCCUAUCUGCCGUGGGCGCUGGAGAACUGAGGGGGGCUGCUCCUAGUACGAGAGGACCGGAGUGGACGCAUCACUGGUGUUCGGGUUGUCAUGCCAAUGGCACUGCCCGGUAGCUAAAUGCGGAAGAGAUAAGUGCUGAAAGCAUCUAAGCACGAAACUUGCCCCGA